RNAcentral lists this ribosomal RNA (253 nucleotides) under uncultured bacterium. RNAcentral's name for it is "partial 16S ribosomal RNA". It matches the Rfam family "Bacterial small subunit ribosomal RNA", at positions 524 to 776 of the family's 1533-position model. The record is from RNAcentral.
UACGGAGGGUGCAAGCGUUGCUCGGAAUCACUGGGCGUAAAGCGACCGUAGGUGGCCAACUAAGUCAGACGUGAAAUCCCUCGGCUUAACCGGGGAACUGCGUCUGAUACUGGAUGGCUAGAGAUUGGGAGAGGGAUGCGGAAUUCCAGGUGUAGCGGUGAAAUGCGUAGAUAUCUGGAGGAACACCAAUGGCGAAGGCAGCUCGCUGGGACGUGACUGACGCUGAGACGCGAAAGCGUGGGGAGCAAACAGG